UCCCUGGGUCCAAAUCAAGCUGUCCAUGGAACAUACUAACAACUCCCCUUCCAGCAUCCGCAUGGACACCGAGCCCUGCCUCAGUGCCAUGAGCCUCCCUGUGGGCUGCGUGACCAGGAAGCUUCUAUUAUCCUGCUCUCCACACUUCAUGUUAGCAGUUUCAUCAGGCCUUCAGUUCUUCCUGAGAUCAAUAAAGCUUAAAAGAAAAGAAAAAGCCAACUCAGCUUGUGCGUGGAUCCCGGACCUUGCUCUAAUACAGACCCCUCUCCUGGAGUGUCAGCCACACUUGACGGCUCAGCUUUCUUGUCACUAAUGAGUUGGGAUGUGGUUGUGCAUUCACAAUCCAGCAAGAGCUAAGUAAGUGCACUUGGAUCCACACCACUGAUUACACACAGUUAGAAAGAAAUUUCUUUUCAAGGGCCUGUGGAAGAGGAGAGGCGAGAGAGGUGUAUGGGAUUUCUGGUGUGUGCCGUGCUUCCUCUGAAGCGUGGCUGCCGACCCGUCCACAGGGGCCAUCAGAGAUGAAAUCACACAGAUGCAACGGAAGGGAAAAUAGCCAAAGGAGACAACAGCAACAACUCGAGUGGAACAGAGGAUGAAGAGAUCAGCACCGGCUAAAUCAUCACUGUCAGAUAAAAGAUAAAUCUUUCAUUAGGAAACAUAUCUUUGCAUGCCCUUCUGACAUUGAAGAAUAUAUUUGAUGUAAGGAUUUGGGGCUUUAUUGAAACUGUAAUAUGC
Microcebus murinus (gray mouse lemur) is the source of this 738-nucleotide non-coding RNA. Lineage: Eukaryota; Metazoa; Chordata; Mammalia; Primates; Cheirogaleidae. The record is from RefSeq and is a predicted model, not a curated record.